RNAcentral lists this ribosomal RNA (552 nucleotides) under uncultured bacterium. Its description in RNAcentral is "partial 16S ribosomal RNA". It matches the Rfam family "Bacterial small subunit ribosomal RNA", at positions 355 to 895 of the family's 1533-position model. The record is from RNAcentral.
UGGGGAAUAUUGCACAAUGGGCGCAAGCCUGAUGCAGCCAUGCCGCGUGUGUGAAGAAGGCCUUCGGGUUGUAAAGCACUUUCAGCGAGGAGGAAGGUGGUGAGCUUAAUACGCUCAUCAAUUGACGUUACUCGCAGAAGAAGCACCGGCUAACUCCGUGCCAGCAGCCGCGGUAAUACGGAGGGUGCAAGCGUUAAUCGGAAUUACUGGGCGUAAAGCGCACGCAGGCGGUUUGUUAAGUCAGAUGUGAAAUCCCCGGGCUCAACCUGGGAACUGCAUUUGAAACUGGCAAGCUAGAGUCUCGUAGAGGGGGGUAGAAUUCCAGGUGUAGCGGUGAAAUGCGUAGAGAUCUGGAGGAAUACCGGUGGCGAAGGCGGCCCCCCUGGACGAAGACUGACGCUCAGGUGCGAAAGCGUGGGGCAGCAAAAGCUGAUAGAUACCCUGGUAGUCCAGCGCUGUAAAACGAUGUCGAUUUGGAGGUUGUGCCCUUGAGGCGUGGCUUCCGGAGCUAACGCGUUAAAUCGACCGCCUGGGGAGUACGGCCGCAAGGUU